RNAcentral lists this ribosomal RNA (502 nucleotides) under uncultured bacterium. RNAcentral describes it as "partial 16S ribosomal RNA". It matches the Rfam family "Bacterial small subunit ribosomal RNA", at positions 30 to 523 of the family's 1533-position model. The record is from RNAcentral.
AUUGAACGCUGGCGGCAUGCUUUACACAUGCAAGUCGAACGGCAGCACGGGUGCUUGCACCUGGUGGCGAGUGGCGAACGGGUGAGUAAUGUAUCGGAACGUACCCGGCAAUGGGGGAUAACGUAGCGAAAGUUACGCUAAUACCGCAUAUGCCCUGAGGGGGAAAGUGGGGGAUCGCAAGACCUCACGUUGUCGGAGCGGCCGAUAUCAGAUUAGCUAGUUGGUGGGGUAAAGGCCUACCAAGGCGACGAUCUGUAGCUGGUCUGAGAGGACGACCAGCCACACUGGGACUGAGACACGGCCCAGACUCCUACGGGAGGCAGCAGUGGGGAAUUUUGGACAAUGGGGGCAACCCUGAUCCAGCCAUGCCGCGUGAGUGAAGAAGGCCUUCGGGCUGUAAAGCUCUUUCGGACAGAAAGAAAUCGCCACUUCUAAUAAAGGUGGUGGAUGACGGUACUGUAAGAAGAAGCACCGGCUAACUACGUGCCAGCCGCCGCCGUAA